RNAcentral lists this ribosomal RNA (496 nucleotides) under uncultured bacterium. Its description in RNAcentral is "partial 16S ribosomal RNA". It matches the Rfam family "Bacterial small subunit ribosomal RNA", at positions 28 to 506 of the family's 1533-position model. The record is from RNAcentral.
GAUGAACGCUGGCGGCGUGCCUAAUACAUGCAAGUCGAGCGAACAGAUAAGGAGCUUGCUCCUUUGACGUUAGCGGCGGACGGGUGAGUAACACGUGGGUAACCUACCUAUAAGACUGGGAUAACUUCGGGAAACCGGAGCUAAUACCGGAUAACAUUUGGAACCGCAUGGUUCUAAAGUGAAAGAUGGUUUUGCUAUCACUUAUAGAUGGACCCGCGCCGUAUUAGCUAGUUGGUAAGGUAACGGCUUACCAAGGCGACGAUACGUAGCCGACCUGAGAGGGUGAUCGGCCACACUGGAACUGAGACACGGUCCAGACUCCUACGGGAGGCAGCAGUAGGGAAUCUUCCGCAAUGGGCGAAAGCCUGACGGAGCAACGCCGCGUGAGUGAUGAAGGGUUUCGGCUCGUAAAACUCUGUUAUUAGGGAAGAACAAAUGUGUAAGUAACUGUGCACGUCUUGACGGUACCUAAUCAGAAAACCACGGCUAACUACGU